Molecule: ribosomal RNA, 374 nt
Filed under: uncultured Desulfobulbus sp.
Lineage: Bacteria; Pseudomonadati; Thermodesulfobacteriota; Desulfobulbia; Desulfobulbales; Desulfobulbaceae
Description: bacterial SSU rRNA
Rfam family: Bacterial small subunit ribosomal RNA
Source: RNAcentral
UGCUUCCAUCUGGAAGAAUCUGGAGACAGGUGCUGCAUGGCUGUCGUCAGCUCGUGUCGUGAGAUGUUGGGUUAAGUCCCGCAACGAGCGCAACCCUUGCCUUUUAGUUGCCAGCAGUUCGGCUGGGCACUCUAAAGGGACUGCCGGUGUUAAACCGGAGGAAGGUGGGGAUGACGUCAAGUCCUCAUGGCCUUUAUGACCAGGGCUACACACGUACUACAAUGGCCGAUACAAAGGGCAGCGACACUGCGAGGUGAAGCCAAUCCCGUAAAAUCGGUCUCAGUCCGGAUUGGAGUCUGCAACUCGACUCCAUGAAGUUGGAAUCGCUAGUAAUCGUGGAUCAGCAUGCCACGGUGAAUACGUUCCCGGGCCUU